UAUAUACUCCCUCUGCCCGAAAAUACUUGUCAUCAAAAUGAAUAAAAAAGAAUGUAUCUAGGUAUAUUUUAGUUCUAGAUACAUUUCUUUUUAUUCAUUUUGAUGAUAAAUAUUUUCGGAGCGGAGGGAGUAUAUU
Triticum aestivum (bread wheat) is the source of this 136-nucleotide non-coding RNA. The record is from Rfam. NCBI's taxonomy places the organism in Eukaryota, Viridiplantae, Streptophyta, Magnoliopsida, Poales, Poaceae.